UCCCACGUGGUCUAGUGGCUAUGAUUUGGCGCUUUCAACGUAAUGACCCGGGUUCGAUUCCCGGCGUGGGAA
This 72-nucleotide transfer RNA is filed under the name Dendronephthya gigantea. RNAcentral's name for it is "tRNA-Glu". It matches the Rfam family "tRNA". From Rfam's summary of the family: Transfer RNA (tRNA) molecules are approximately 80 nucleotides in length. Their secondary structure includes four short double-helical elements and three loops (D, anti-codon, and T loops). The record is from RNAcentral. Lineage: Eukaryota; Metazoa; Cnidaria; Anthozoa; Malacalcyonacea; Nephtheidae.